Molecule: long non-coding RNA, 312 nt
Organism: Oxyura jamaicensis (ruddy duck)
Lineage: Eukaryota; Metazoa; Chordata; Aves; Anseriformes; Anatidae
Exons: 3
Source: RefSeq, a predicted model, not a curated record
GAAACACACAAAGGACAGCUAUAAACUGGGGACUGUGGAAUCAGUAAUGCAAGGAUUUUAGAAGAUGAAUUAUUUCUUUAGACUUUGUUUCCCCGUAGGAAUAUUAACUGUGUGUUAAGGCUGCAUGAACAGAUUUCUGACUGUCAUCUCAGACCCUGCUUCUGCAACAAGAUCUGUAGGAACAGAUUUCUGGAUGGAAGUUUAGGCGUGUCCUUGGACUAAGAUCCCUUGCACAAGGAUGACUUCUUUUUCUGGAAUUUGACCUUUAAAUGAAAAUUUAAAUUGUUAUGAUUUUGUGUGGGGAAACCACAA